AAUUAUUCAUGUGUAUUUCAUGAUGUUUUUUUUUUCUUAUUUUUUGUGGUCACUAUAGAGUUGCACUAAUUUUAAUAGGUUUACAAAUUAUUCAUGUGUAUUUCAUGACUUUUUUUUCUUAUUUUUUGAGGUCAUUAUAGAGUUGUACUAAUUUUAAUAAGUUUACAAAUUAUUCAUGUGUAUUUCAUGAUGUUUUUUUUUCUUAUUUUUUGAGGUCAUUAUAGAGUUGCACUAAGGGGCCGUUUGGUUAGAUGUAAUUAUAAAUGCAGUGUAGUUAGAGAUACAUGUACUUGAAAAUACAGCAGUUAAAACUACAUGAUCUUGUUUGGUUGGAUGUAGUAGAAAGCGCUGUAAGUAUAAAUAAUUUAUUUGGUUGCAUGCAGUUGAGAAAUAAUUUUUAAAAUUUUAUUAUUUUAUAUAUAUGAUGGUGAGAUUACCUCUAAUGUAAAAAAGAAAAAUAAUUUUUGUUUAAAAAUAUUGAGGAGGUAAGCAUACUUUUUAUUUAAAAUUACUCUCUCCAACCGCUGUAGUCGGAACUGCGAUCAAUUUGGGUGUAGUUUGAACUGCUGCAGUUAGACCUCCUCCUACAGUUCCUACUGCUGCAGUUGGAGUUAAAUAUAUCAAACCAAAUACGAAAUUUGCAUUUACAUGUAGUUACAAUUGCAGUGCAGUUGUUGUCACGCCCCGGAUGUCUAGUUCCCCGGGCACGCCGACAAAUCCGCCGUAUACAAAGAAAUUUUCUCUGAAUACGAAGCGACAGCUGUACCUGUAAAUCAAACGCUACUACGAACAGUAGUAGAGAGCUGCUAAAAAAAACAGAAGAUAAACAAACUGAGUUUCAUAUACAUAGUCCAAAUCCAAAAUACAGAGCUACUCGCACUGGCGAGUUAAGUCUACUAUGUACAGAAACUCGAAACAACAUCUACCUGCAGUAGGGGCACCUCUAGCUCAGCACGACGGGUAGGGCUCUAACUCGUGACGCCCUUGCCUCGAUCCUGAUCCGCGGAAGGCGCAGCAGCCGGAACCUGUGGCUCUGCAAAAUAGAGGUAACAACUGGGCGUGAGAACUACUGUAAAAACAAGUAGUCCUCAGUGGGUACCGCCCAAAACCACAUCGGUCCACCCACUAAGUCUAC
Molecule: long non-coding RNA, 1135 nt
Filed under: Ananas comosus (pineapple)
Lineage: Eukaryota; Viridiplantae; Streptophyta; Magnoliopsida; Poales; Bromeliaceae
Description: long non-coding RNA (ACOM_LNC027780)
Source: RNAcentral